RNAcentral lists this ribosomal RNA (238 nucleotides) under uncultured bacterium. RNAcentral's name for it is "partial 16S ribosomal RNA". It matches the Rfam family "Bacterial small subunit ribosomal RNA", at positions 118 to 347 of the family's 1533-position model. The record is from RNAcentral.
UGGGUAAUCUGCCCUCGAUUCUGGGAUAGCCCGGGGAAACCCGGAUUAAUACCGGAUAGCCUCUCGAGCUUUCGAGCUCGUGAGAAAAGGUAGCUUCGGCCUCCGAUCGAGGAUGAGCCCGCGGCGGAUUAGCUUGUUGGUGGGGUAAUGGCCUACCAAGGCGACGAUCCGUAGCUGGUCUGAGAGGACGAUCAGCCACACUGGGACUGAGACACGGCCCAGACUCUUACGGAAGCAG